GACGAACGCUGGCGGCGUGCUUAACACAUGCAAGUCGUACGAUCACCCGGCUCUUCGGCGCUUGUGAUUAGUGGCGAACGGGUGAGUAACACGUGUGUGACCUGCCCUUCACUCUGGGAUAAGCCCUGGAAACUGGGUCUCUUACUGGAUACGACCUGUUGCCGCAUGGUCUGCUGGUGUAAAGCCCUUCGGGGUUGUGUGGGAUGGGCCCGCCCCCUAUCCGCUUGUUGGUGGGUUGAUUGCCUACUAAGGCGACGACGGGUAGCCGGCCUGAGAGGGUGCCCGGCCACACUGGGACAGAGACACGGCCCAGACGGCUACGGGAGGCAGCAGUGGGGAAUCAAGCAGAAUGGGCGAAAGGCUGAUGCAGCGAGGCAGCGUGAGGGAUGACGGGAUUCGGGUUGUAAACCUCUAGGGGAAGGGAAAAAGCCUGGGGGUUGUCUACUGGGUGAGGGUACCUGCGGAAGAAGCACCGGCUAACUACGUG
This 487-nucleotide ribosomal RNA is filed under the name uncultured bacterium. RNAcentral describes it as "partial 16S ribosomal RNA". It matches the Rfam family "Bacterial small subunit ribosomal RNA", at positions 28 to 507 of the family's 1533-position model. The record is from RNAcentral.